Molecule: small nuclear RNA, 162 nt
Organism: Copidosoma floridanum
Lineage: Eukaryota; Metazoa; Arthropoda; Insecta; Hymenoptera; Encyrtidae
Product: U1 spliceosomal RNA
Source: RefSeq, a predicted model, not a curated record
AUACUUACCCGGCGUUGGGGAUACCACGAUCACGAAGAUGGUUCCCCCAGGGUGAGGCUCCGUCCUUGCACUAUGAUUGGGCUGACCCUUGCGAAUAUUCCUCUUGUGGAUAUCUCGGGCGCACUAUUUUUGGUAGCUGGGACUGCGUUCGCGCAAUCCCGA